UACAUGGGGUGCAAACGUUGCUCGGAAUUAUUGGGCGUAAAGCGCACGUAGGUGGUUUGUUAUGUCGGAUGUGAAAGCCCUCGGCUCAACUGAGGAAGUGCAUCCGAAACUGGCAAGCUAGAGUAUGUAAGAGGGUCGCGGAAUUCCCGGUGUAGAGGUGAAAUUCGUAGAUAUCGGGAGGAACACCGGUGGCGAAGGCGGCGACCUGGGACAAUACUGACACUGAGGUGCGAAAGCGUGGGGAGCGAACAGG
Molecule: ribosomal RNA, 253 nt
Filed under: uncultured bacterium
Lineage: Bacteria
Description: partial 16S ribosomal RNA
Rfam family: Bacterial small subunit ribosomal RNA
Source: RNAcentral